This is a non-coding RNA of Macaca mulatta (Rhesus monkey), 825 nucleotides long. Lineage: Eukaryota; Metazoa; Chordata; Mammalia; Primates; Cercopithecidae. The record is from RefSeq and is a predicted model, not a curated record.
UGCAUGUGUGUAUGUGUGUCUGAUGUCUUAGUGUUCAUAUCCAUGAGCAUCAGGAGAGCUUCCACUUUACCCAUGUUUCAAACUCUAGAGAGGCUGCUCCCCCUGCUGAGUAGCCUGGUCGUGGCCAGGGCUGGGUGAUGGCUGUUUGGAUGCUCUCAGAAAUGUGGUAAGCCGUUCACUUAUUAUUCAGGGAAACAUCCGGCAAAGUGAUAGCUUCUUUCCUUGCUAUCAGUAUCUACUGCCAGCUGUUCACUUGGAUUGAAGGAUAUGAGGGACUGAAUGCUGAAUUCACACAUGCAGCUAACCGCCCUCCUCCAGACCCCAGAGGAGCCAUUAGGAUGAGUGUUUAUGGAGCGGCACUACCUGGAAAUGCCAAGGCCCAGUGGGGAAUGAGAGAUCGACCAUGCAUGUAGAACCUGCCUUAUUUCACAGGAAGCAUAAAACAAUCCUGUAGCCACGACUCCUGCCCCCAUUUCAUGGAAGGGAUGCUCUGAGGCCACCUCAAUAACAUGGGCAGCAAACGCCCUGGAGGAAUCCCUGCACGUGAAAUGCAGGAGCCGUCAGACUCCACACUUCUGCGCAUGCCGUUCCUUCUGUCUGGAACGCCGUUCCCUACCUUGCCCUCCAAAAUAUCAGCUUAUUGCAGAAGCUUCAGUUAAUUCCCCUCCUAUCAGAAGACUUAAUGUUCCCAUACUUGUUUGCUUAAAGCAUUUCACACGUAUCUUAUGAAAACCCUCUAUCUCGAUGUUUUACUCACUUUGUAUCCCCAGCUCAGAGUAACACUCCUAACUCAUAGUAGAAACUCAAUAAAUAUUUAAUUACUCA